Molecule: long non-coding RNA, 490 nt
Filed under: Sinocyclocheilus anshuiensis
Lineage: Eukaryota; Metazoa; Chordata; Actinopteri; Cypriniformes; Cyprinidae
Description: lncRNA (ENSSANG00000049978.1)
Source: RNAcentral
GAUGACAAUCACAACAACAACACGUGCAGAUCCUGCAGAUUAUUUUGGUCUUAAAAAUGUCGCUUUAACAGCACAUAUUUCAGCUCAACUGCAAACAAAACCGACACACAGUCCGAUAAAAUGCUGGAGUCACGCGACUCACCUAAUAAGUGCUGUGCUGUGGAUUGUAAAGCUGGACAGACAGUGACUGUAAUGAUGGACAUCUGCUUGUGGACAGGAGACGCACUCAUACCGCUUUGGUCUUGAUCAUUUUAAAGCACAGAAGAUUUGAACCAGCAUAUUCUACAGGAGGGCCACACUCACUUCUCAUGAGCCUCAUGGGAUCUCUGUAACGAGCAAACAGCCCUCAGAGUCUCAGGAACUCCAGACUGAAGCUCUUCUCAUCAGCCCUGAAGCUCGUUUAUUCAAGAUCAAUCAUAGUAACUUUUUCAUUUUGAACAGAUUUAUGAUUUAUUCAUUCAAGAGUUAUUUAAAAGAGACACACCAGAAC